This 400-nucleotide long non-coding RNA is filed under the name Rattus norvegicus (Norway rat). RNAcentral's name for it is "long non-coding RNA NONRATT029112". The record is from RNAcentral. Lineage: Eukaryota; Metazoa; Chordata; Mammalia; Rodentia; Muridae.
ACCGAAUCUACUGGCAAGGUGGUCUACUUCACCGCAUUGAUGCCUUACUGUGUUCUUAUUAUCUACUUGGUCCGUGGCCUCACACUCCAUGGAGCCACCAAUGGCCUGAUGUACAUGUUCACACCUAAGGUAAGAGCUGCAAAGGAAGGGGACUGUUCCUUUCUGGGAUGCCCGGGAGGAAAGAGAAAGUGGGUAAGAUACGUAAUCAGCAGGGCCAGUGUGAGCUCAAGACUGGGCCAAAGGUUAUGGACAUCCUGGGUGCCCAGACUUCUUCCUCAACUAUGCGUUCUGGAAAUGCAAUCCUUUGUCCAUUUCCUCCUGCUACCCUCACUGCCCCUUAUGACUAGUGCCUGUGCCUCCAUUCUGGUCUCCCUGUUCCAGGUCUCACCCAUAGCCUUGU